RNAcentral lists this ribosomal RNA (473 nucleotides) under uncultured organism. RNAcentral describes it as "partial 16S ribosomal RNA". It matches the Rfam family "Bacterial small subunit ribosomal RNA", at positions 332 to 797 of the family's 1533-position model. The record is from RNAcentral.
UACACUCCUGCGGGAGGCAGCAGUGGGGAAUUUUGGACAAUGGGCGAAAGCCUGAUCCAGCAAUGCCGCGUGAGUGAAGAAGGCCUUCGGGUUGUAAAGCUCUUUUGUCAGGGAAGAAACGGUGAAAGCUAAUAUCUUUUGCUAAUGACGGUACCUGAAGAAUAAGCACCGGCUAACUACGUGCCAGCAGCCGCGGUAAUACGUAGGGUGCAAGCGUUAAUCGGAAUUACUGGGCGUAAAGCGUGCGCAGGCGGUUUUGUAAGUCUGAUGUGAAAUCCCCGGGCUCAACCUGGGAAUUGCAUUGGAGACUGCAAGGCUAGAAUCUGGCAGAGGGGGGUAGAAUUCCACGUGUAGCAGUGAAAUGCGUAGAUAUGUGGAGGAACACCGAUGGCGAAGGCAGCCCCCUGGGUCAAGAUUGACGCUCAUGCACGAAAGCGUGGGGAGCAAACAGGAUUAGAAACCCCAGUAGUCCC